RNAcentral lists this long non-coding RNA (261 nucleotides) under Elaeis guineensis (African oil palm). RNAcentral's name for it is "long non-coding RNA (EGUI_LNC068309)". Lineage: Eukaryota; Viridiplantae; Streptophyta; Magnoliopsida; Arecales; Arecaceae. The record is from RNAcentral.
UUCUAAUCCCUAGAACUCGACUAGCCACCAAUUGAAUAGAUUUUUCUUUAGAUCUGAGUCUGAACCUCUCAAAAUCAUCCACUAGACCUGACCACUUUUUUUUGGACCUCUUAAACCCUUAGAGCUAUUAGGAUUAGGCUUAUCUUAAAAGAACAAGCUUUUGUCCUAAACCCUAGAGUUGUAAGAGAGGGAGAGAGGGAGUGGAUAGGGGAUGUAAGAAUUGAAUGAUCAACCCUUCUAUCAUCUCCUAUUUAUAGCACC